UGGCGGCGUGCUUAACACAUGCAAGUCGAACGGAUUUAUUUGAAAGCUUGCUUUUGAAUAACUUAGUGGCGGACGGGUGAGUAACGCGUGGGUGACCUGCCUUAUACUGGGGGAUAACACUUAGAAAUAGGUGCUAAUACCGCAUAAGCGCACAGUUCUGCAUGGAACAGUGUGAAAAACUCCGGUGGUAUAAGAUGGACCCGCGUCUGAUUAGCUGGUUGGUGAGGUAACGGCUCACCAAGGCGACGAUCAGUAGCCGGCCUGAGAGGGUGAACGGCCACAUUGGGACUGAGACACGGCCCAAACUCCUACGGGAGGCAGCAGUGGGGAAUAUUGCACAAUGGGGGAAACCCUGAUGCAGCGACGCCGCGUGAGUGAAGAAGUAUUUCGGUAUGUAAAGCUCUAUCAGCAGGGAAGAAAAUGACGGUACCUGACUAAGAAGCCCCGGCUAACUACGUGCCAGCAGCCGCGGUAAUACGUAGGGGGCAAGCGUUAUCCGGAAUUAUUGGGCGUAAAGAGUGCGUAGGUGGUUACUUAAGCGCGGGGUGAAAGGCAAUGGCUCAACCAUUGUUAGCCCUGCGAACUGGGUUACUUGAGUGCAGGAGAGGAAAGCGGAAUUCCUAGUGUAGCGGUGAAAUGCGUAGAUAUUAGGAGGAACACCAGUGGCGAAGGCGGCUUUCUGGACUGUUACUGACACUGAGGCACGAAAGUGUGGGGAGCAAACAGGAUUAGAUACCCUGGUAGUCCACACCGUAAACGAUGAGCACUAGGUGUCGGGGAAGCAAUUCUUCGGUGCCGCAGUUAACGCAUUAAGUAUUCCGCCUGGGGAGUACGGUCGCAAGAUUAAAACUCAAAGGAAUUGACGGGGGCCCGCACAAGCAGCGGAGCAUGUGGUUUAAUUCGAAGCAACGCGAAGAACCUUACCUAGACUUGACAUCUCCUGCAUUACCCUUAAUCGGGGAAGUUCCUUCGGGAACAGGAAGACAGGUGGUGCAUGGUUGUCGUCAGCUCGUGUCGUGAGAUGUUGGGUUAAGUCCCGCAACGAGCGCAACCCUUAUUGUUAGUUGCUACCAUUUAGUUGAGCACUCUAGCGAGACUGCCCGGGUUAACCGGGAGGAAGGUGGGGAUGACGUCAAAUCAUCAUGCCCCUUAUGUCUAGGGCUACACACGUGCUACAAUGGCAAGUACAAAGAGACGCAAGACCGCGAGGUGGAGCAAAACUCAAAAACUUGUCUCAGUUCGGAUUGUAGGCUGAAACUUGCCUACAUGAAGCUGGAGUUGCUAGUAAUCGCGAAUCAGCAUGUCGCGGUGAAUACGUUCCCGGGC
This 1326-nucleotide ribosomal RNA is filed under the name uncultured bacterium. Its description in RNAcentral is "partial 16S ribosomal RNA". It matches the Rfam family "Bacterial small subunit ribosomal RNA", at positions 37 to 1379 of the family's 1533-position model. The record is from RNAcentral.